Molecule: long non-coding RNA, 8803 nt
Organism: Sapajus apella (tufted capuchin)
Lineage: Eukaryota; Metazoa; Chordata; Mammalia; Primates; Cebidae
Exons: 2
Source: RefSeq, a predicted model, not a curated record
UUUGCCUGCCUUGGCCUCCCAAAGUGCUGGGAUUACAGGCGUGAGCCACUGUGCCUGGCCAAAAAUCUUUUUGUUGACAGUGGAUAAGCAGCCAGCUUUGCAUCCCUCCCCACCCCAACCACAGCCCCUUUCACACUCAGCCCCAGAAGCUGGCAGGAACUGAUAACCCUCCAGAGGGUUAUCGGUAAAGCACCCAUGGAGUGGCUUGAAGAUGGCACCCCCUUGGGCUGAGAGCAGGUUUCUACUUGUCUGAGAUAACGUGACUCGAGCUGCUUGACCAGGACAGAAUGCUGGUUUCACAUAUGCCGUUCUUUUCCACACAUAUUGCUGAGCACUCCUUUGAUUGCAAAUGACAGAAACCCAACUUGAAUUACCAUAAUGAAACAGGAUAUUUAUUGUGAGGAUAGAAACAUGUCUCACGGAAACUAAGGUUGGAAAGACAACUGGGUCUCCAGAACAGUGGGAAUUAGGUUCUUGAAAAUCCUCUCCAACUCCCUGCAUUCAUUUUUGACCAACUUUAUCUCAUCACAGGAAAUGUGGCUGCUGAACUCUCUCAGAGCUUUAGCCAUGUAGAAGGGGGAGAUCACGUGAUUCUCUUAUUCCAAGUCCAGAACUGCAAGAGAAGAAGCUUGUUGGUCCUGCUGGAGAAAGGGUCUUCCUCCUGGAAGUCAUUUGUGCUGAGGCGGUGGCACUGGACUUAUAGUGUGAACCCUACAGUACCAUGGAGGUGGAUAACAGGGGCAGCUAUCUUAGGAGAGUUGAAAAAACAAUUUUCUUCAGGAAUCUCCAAUUAUUGCUAGAAGAGUGCUAGGUAAAAAGCCCCAAAGGCAUCAACUACAUAAGAGAUUUUGUGAAAAUUGAUGAAAAGCAAGUUGAUUACUGCCCAACCUAAACAACCAGAAAACAAGAAAACAUUCAGUCCAAGGGGAUAUCUGAAAAUCAAGAGAAUCCACUGAAUAAUGAAAAAAGACUGGUAUUAGAUUUUUCUGUUAACUGUUAUUUGGGUAAGCAACUAUUUCAGAAGGGAUUGGUUCCUUUGCUUUAUCUCAUUAAAUGCGAUGGUAAUGCCUGCAGAUUGCAUCUUCCCACAAUAAAUAAAAUACUGUAUACAUUCAUGUAGCAAAGGUCUUCUUAGCCCUUUCCCUACCCUCUUCCCAAUUCCUAAUCUGCUAUGUGUGAACUUUGAGGUAAGCCUGUUGGAGAGCCUUGGGGGAAAUGGGGCACAAGUGCCACAUGGUUAAUGAGGACACUCCUGGUUUACUCGGCACAAAGGGUGUGUGAGUCAAAAUUCUUCAGAGAAACAGAGCCAACAAGAUGUGUGUAUAUGCAGACAGAGACAGAGACAGUGAUUUAUUUUAGGGAAUUGAGUCAUGUGAUUGUGAAGGCCUGGUUAAUCCAAAAUCUUCAGGAUAGGCCAACUGACUGGAAACUCAAGGAAGAGCUGCAGUUAGAGUCUGAAGGCUGUUUGCUGGCAGAAUCCUUCCUCCCUGGAGGACAUCCGCCUUUGUUCUAUUAAGACAUUCAACUAUGAGGCCCACUCACAUUAUGGCGGGCACUCUGCUUUACUCAAAGUCUACUGACUUAAAUGUUCAUCCCAUCCCAAACACCUUCUCAGGAAUAUCCAGAAGAACAUUUGAAUAUCUGGCCAUUGUGGCCCAGCCAUAUUUACACAUGAAAGUAACAACCAUCACAAAGGGGAAGUGGCAGACUACCAGGCAAGGCUGGAACAGAACUGGAAAGUAGAAAGUAGAAGUGGCAGACUACCAGGCAAGGCAAGAAUGGAACUGGAAAGUAGAAAUUCAUGAACAAUAUCAUGUCAGCCUAAGAAGCAGGGCGAGUGGUUCUUCAGACUUCUGGAGCCUGGAAAUAUUUACAGUUACAGUGGAAGAAGGAAAGAAACUGUGAGAGGGAGACAGAUGGGGAAGGAAGAGCCUCCUAAUGGCCAUAGUAGGAACAUUUCUCAACAUAGCGAUGGAUUCCCAUGGUGGAAAGAGUGACCAUGUGGGUACAUGUUGGAGAAAUGACAAAAGCCUGAGAGGCAGGAGUGACAGUGGUGCCGGAGGUGUCCUCUUCCUGCCUAUGGCAGAGUGGUGUGCAUGUCUUACAACUCCUCCCUGUGGCCUGUUGCAGUCUGCAUGUGAAAUAGAAACAUGCAGGCUGACUGUGGCCUUUAAGCUGUGUGGCAUUGGGCCAGGAAAACCUUUGCAAUGAUUCUCAGAGGCCAUGUAACAACAUACACAAUGUCAGAUAACCUAGGAAUGCUCUAUUUCCAGGGCCAGAUGGACAUAUUCAGGGAGACCAACAAUUUAGUACUCUCUCAAACCAAUAUUUGAAUGAGACUAUUGUCCUAUCUUUUUUGUUACUGUUGUUGGCAUGGGAAGGAACUGAGUUUCCAUGAAAAAUUACAUAGCCUGGUUUAUUAUGUUUGCUGUCUUCUUCUCAAAAACAACCCAUUUGCAUAAGCCCAUUAGUAAACAAUUUGGUGUUGGUUGAGGAUUUUUGAUUGGGGAAUAGAGGAGGGAUUCAAAAAAGGUGAUUUCUCCUGCAUAACCAGAAGAUACUUUCUUAUUAUAUCUUAUGAAUAAAUGUGUUUCUUCCCUUAUGUCUUUCUUGGGAAUCUUGGUUGCCUCUCUCUUUUUCUCUCUGGUGCUUGGUCUUUUUGCCUCCUGACUGCUCUUUCCUGAAUAUUUACCUCCCUUCAUGUCUGUAUUUCUGCCUUUCUGACAAAGAGCAGUUUCACACCCGUCUAGCUCUAUCUCCAUCCAAGUUAUGACUGGGGGAAUUGGUUUAGUGAAUGGGCUGGACUCUAGGGUAUAAUCCAGAUACAACUUUUUCUUUCCUCACCACUAUCUUCAAAUGUGUGGCAUCUCCCUUCCCUUCUCUUUUGGUGACACCGCAGAUUCCCAACAAAGAAGUAAGAAGACUAUUCCCACAGCAGUGGUGCAGAUUUGUCACAACAAAUGAAAAAUUACAUCGUGAACAGAGAAGCAGAGGGGAGAAGUCUGCUAAAAGCCACUCAAAAACCCUAAGCUCCCUUUCAAAAUGUAUGCAGAGUGGUUUCACAUUAUGUCUGCCACAUAAUAGAUAUUGAUUGAGUGAGUGAAGGAGACUGCCAAGGACACUUUCUGGAAUUUGCUGAGAUUGGUGUGUUCUACACAUACCAUUCAUCCUAUGAAAUAUAAGAUGCCAGUCAUCUUCCUAAUGCACAGUGAUGCUGUCAGCCUAGGGUGGAAUUGGCCAACACCAUGCCCUGGCCAAGAUACACUAGUUCUAUUCAGACCCUUCCUGUGCCCAGGCUUCUGCAGGGGCCAGAGGGCAGCAGCAAUUCUCGGGAGGGUCAGGAAGUGGAAGCUGAGCAUGGCCUUUGGCACCAUGGAGUAGAAGAGUGGGAGGCUGAGAAUCCUCCCCAGGGAAGUGGCAGGAGAUAAGCCCUCCUGUGGACUAAGGCUCCAAGCCACCAGCAUGCACUCCAUUGCCUAAUUAGCCUUCAUUUCAAAAACACAAAUUCAAAGAUAAAAUGGAGAAUUUCAAGAUGAUAACCACAGAGUGUUAUGGGGCCCUUGUGAAUGUGAGGCCCUGUGAGACUGCACUGUGGCAUGUUCCUGUAGCUGGCCCUGGCUGGAAAUGUGUGAAAGGUUAUCCAGCCUAGCCUUCAUCUGUUGCUUGGGUCUGUUUCUUGUGCUGAGUUUUCUUGCUUCAGCCUUUGAUUUUUGAUGCAUUAUACUUCAUCUUAAAACACAGCUUUCUUUUCCAUGUCAGUAAUUACUUUAAUAAUUCCCUGUGUCUGAAAUCUUCCAUAGAAAAAGUGGAAUAUGAGGUGAUUGUAAAAGAUCCAUUAAAGUGCAAAGGGCCAAGAAAAAAAAAAAGAAAAAGCAGAAUAAAUGUACUGUCAAUUUUCAGGGAUAGUGUAUUGAUAUUCUUAAACAACAAAAAAUACUGCUUGAUUGACUUUAACUGGAUUGAAUUAAAUUUUGUCUCCAGAAUUCCCCACCCUUUGUUUUGAUUCUCAAAGGCAUGAUUUAAUUCUCUAAGGGAACUCUUUUGACUUACUAGCUUUCAUGGUUUAUUUUGAGUGUAAAAUUAGGUCUCACAAUUGUUUGCAAGUCUAGGUCUGAGGAAUGAGAAUAUUGUAGGUUGAUGUCCUACUUGGAAAAACACACUUCAAACUCCCAAAGAGGUGGAUAUGAGUUUUUUGUUGGUUGUUUUUAUUUUUCAAGAUUUGUGAUAAACAGUGGAGCUUUAUAAUCCUACUGAAAACAUUUUGGCCUCAGAUGGACUAAUUCCUGUAAAGUCUCUCUUCUAGAAAUUUGUACGAUAUGAUUUUCUUAAAACAGUACCUUGAAAUCAUAACUUCUCAUGGCACAGCUGGUACACUUUGUUCCUGGCUUCAAAGAAAAUUAUAAUCUUAGGAUGUGUCCAAUACCUCUUAAAAUACACCCUGACUCAUCUCUCAGGCUCCAGGCCCCGUAUUUCACUGUAAAUCCGGUAUCUAAAUACACAGGUUGAAGUCUCAGGGGAUGUGAACUUGGUUAGAGUCAAACUCUACUUAAAAUAUGCAAUCGCCACUGGCUUUCCUUGUUUAUUUCUGAGAGAUUUCUCAUUCAUUCAACAAAACUGGGUUGGAAGUAAUGGUGAGGAACUCAUCAGCUCAAGCCAUGUAAAUGGGAAAAAAAUGGGGAAUGGACACUUUGAGGGCCAGUAAGAUAGACAUAAAGCAUAUACCCCUGGAUAGGGCUGUUUUCCAUAAACUUAAUCAGGUCUAGAAGUAAUUCUCUACUGCUCCCAGUCUCCACUUGCCCAGACAUCCCAAAGAACACCUUGUUUCACUUGCAGAGUUGAUGGAGGGGUACAGUAGCUGAAAUGGUGUGGCAUUGGAAGGUCACAAUGACAGAAGGAGAAAGGGGGGUUCAAAAAGGCUGGUUGGCAUGCCCUGAUUCAAUGGUGUGCUGGAGAAGGCUUGUAUUAGCUUAAGAGAGCUGAUUCUUAACUACAUUGAUGACCUGAAAUUGGCCAUGAAAAUCACUAUAUACUACCAAUCAAGUCUCAUCUGUCCCCCACCUCAAAGUUGACUGGCAGGUCACUGAUAUUAAGCUUACACUGCUCUCUAGAAAUGUUCUCUGGCUCCCUCUCGUUGCCUGUGGCACUUCCUUUUUGAUGUUCUUGUGGCCCUUGCCUCUAUUUGUCAUCAUUAUGUAUAUACAUGCCCGAUUCAUGGCCAUAUGGGGCCACAAUGUCUAGCAUUUAGCUGAUGCUUGACAAAUGUCCCUUGUAUCAAUGGGCACAUAAAAUGCAUAUUUUUCAGGUGUACAUUAAAACUAAGAAAAGAUUGAUCUUUGCUAACAGAAUUUUUUUGUUUAUAUAACAUUUAGUGAGCUCCUAUCCUGUAAUUGUACUAGGCUCUGGGGAUUUACCAAACAGCAAGGCAUGCUUCUUUUAUUAAAGAAGAACAUGGUUUACUGAGGAAGACAUGUAUUGCUUUCUCUUUGUAUUAAUAUGUCCUUCUGUCUGUUUCUACAUGUUUUUUACAUGUUUUCCUUAGUUGGUUUGCUAAGUUAUGAUGAAACUCCAAUGUGUACAAGUUUAUAUACAGAAUAAGAUCCGAAGGGCCACAUACCAAAACAUUAACGGUUUACUUCUGAUGUGCAGAUAGGUUAGGAAAACAUAAUAUUUUUUGUUUGUACUGUGUAUACUGUUUGAGUUUUUUGAGUACAUACUAUUUUAUACUUAAAAUAUCUAAGAAUAAUUUUUUAAAACUUGUAUAGUUAAUACAAAUUCAAGAAUGUGAAGUGGUGGGGGCAUAAGGGAGUUGGGGAGAAGUUUCAGGGUGAAACUGUUCCACCUCAGAUCAUCAGGCAGUAGGUAGUUUCUCAUAAGCAGCGUGCAACCUAGAUCCCUUGCAUGCACAGCUUGCAGUAGGGCUUGUGCUCCUAUGAAAGUCUAAUGCCACCACUGAUCUGACAGGAGGGAAAGCACAGGUGGUGAUGCUUACUGGCCAUUUAUUUACCUCCUGCUGUGAGGUCUGUUUCCUAAUGGGCCACAGACUGGUACUCCAUGGCCAGGGGACUGGGGACCCCUGCUGUAGGGAAUGAGAAUCACCUGGAGAUUUUUAACCGAAGGAUGAUGAGAUUCAAUCUAUAUUUUUGGAUGAUAACAGCUAAAAUGAAGAACGAGGUUGCACUGGUGAGAGGCAGACUGAGCCUAAUGAUAGAUUAUCAUUUGGUCUUUAUAUAACAAGACUGUUUCUCUACCUAGUUUUGGGUGGAAAUAACUUGCACUGGGAGUUCCUAGGGUGUGGUACACAAGUCCUUAUGUGGCUAUAAGAACAGACAGUCCAGACACUCAGUCUCUUCUUCUUUCAGCUCUAAUGUCAUUGCUCUCUUGUAUCCUAGAAUCUGAUAAGUGUUGGCAAGGCAGAAAUUCUGUCUUGUUCUGAGUCAUGUGGGUGGACAAUGGUGGUGAAGGAAAGAAAGCUCCUAGCAGCGGCUGGCCUUGCUGGAAAUACAGAGAUGGAAGUUCUCUGUUCCAAGGAUAUUUAAUGGUGUCAGGAUAUAGGCCACAAAUUGUCAUUCGAGGGUGGCCUGGCUUAUACUGGGUAGCACUGGCUUCAAAUCAACUGACCUUUGAGUUAUAAAGAUGUCAGUUCCUUCAUGUGGUGACUUUCAUAUGUGUUAAUCUCCUGUAGGGUGGGUUCAGGUAAAAUGAAUGAAAGAUAGGUGAGAAUCCAUGGGAUACCACCCACUGGAUGUGAAGCACCUCACAUGGGGUGAAGUGACAUGUUAGAUCCCUCCAGCAGAAGAGGCAGGCAGGGAGGUAAAGCACGAUUUGGUAUUGAUUUGACUCUGCCUGCUCUUGUUGCUAAACACUACGUGCUUUCCAGGAACAUGGAAGUGGUGCUGGGUGAAACCUCUGCCUUGACAGUCUUUUCCUGAUCUGAGCAAUUCUUAGAGGGGAGGUCACUUCCUGUCCAUUGUUCAGUUGAGAUCACUUUAGACCAUAAGUCUGAGGUCCUGUUUAUCAUCCAUAGAAAUGGUUCUCUUUUAUUUAUUUAUUUUUUUCAUUAUAUACCCAGCCAGGUCCUAGCAUAGGCCUUCCCAAAAACAAUGGGUCAGGACCAGUUCUAGUGUCUUCCACAUCUUAGAAAUUAAACCACCACCUCAUUUUCUGUUUCUAACUGAAAUCUAGGGCCUAUCUGCUGGCUUCAGGUCUUUCUACCUUGGUGGUAACUCUAAUUUGAAUAUUUUGUUAUGCUCUCUGUCCCUGUAGCUUGAUUGGUGUUAUUCUGAAAAGAUCUCAACUCAUGCAUUUAUUUGUUCAACAGGUACUGGAUUUUUUGAGUGCUAAUGUGAGUCAGACACUGUGUGAGGCAUCGGGAAUAUGAUAGUAAACAAAGAGAACCUUGGGCCUGCCAUAAUAUUGCUUAAAGCCAAGGGUAGGAUUGAAAUAUUAAACGAAGAAUAACGAUGUAAAUGCAAAGCCACAACUGUAAUGGGCAAUGAUGGAAUGCUACAAGGUAAAAUUACAUGAAAGGAGAAUCAUCUAGUAAGGAAAGUCCGCGGAGGCUUCCCUCAGGAAGUGAUAACCCCACCAAGCUCUUCCUUUAAGAGUAGAAGGGCCUAGGUUUCUGGGCAGGUCGCUUUACUUCCUACUAGGAAGUGAAGCAAUAUUUCCCAGGUCACACCAAAAAAUGAGAGGUAAAGGGGUCCCAUUAGACUGUAGCUCUAGUUCUAGUUCUAUGGGACUUACCCAUAUUCACAUUACUGAGGGAUACUCAAGUGACUCUUUGAAGGACAAAAAGAUAAGCUUCUUCAGAAUAAAAAGAAAGCCAAUAGAUAUACCCUGCUAAAUGUAUUAAAAUGUCACUUAAUAUUUAUAGAAUAUCACUGAAGUGUAGAGUCCCUUCCCGACACUUAAUCUUGAGGGGCCAAAUAGCCAUUUUCCACUUACUUUAGGUACUUUCCCUGCUCUGAGGGUCCUGUUCUAUAGCCAGCCUGCUAAAGCCUGAUUCCAAUCACUGUCUCCAAUUUUCAAGGUCCUUUAGGAUCUUUGAACAGUAAUUAUUUCUUUUCUCUUCACAAAGAGACUUUCUAUAAAUUGCCUGUGACUAGAAUUGAUUCAGAUAUUUAGGUAUAAUGCUGAAGAAAUGUUGAGGUGUAAAUAUAGUUGUUAGGUGACAAAUUCUGCUUUCUGAAACUCCCAGGAUGGGAUUUCCAGCCAUAAGCAAGGGUGCCAUUUGGCAUUUCUGGGUGGGGAGCCUGACUGACAAGCUCACUUCUCAGGAACAAGGAGCACCCGCCACCUGGCAUUCGUUAUUAGCAGCUGUGUGAUUGCACCCCAUGGUGACAUGACACAAACUUCUCUUCAGAAUUCCCCAAGCUAAGAGGAGAUUCAUGAGUCAGGAUGUUGGGAACCGCACAGGCAAGUACCUUGGUUUUUGAGGAAAAUUUGUCUGGCUUAUGAAUCACAAAAAUAAGUGCCACAUAUUUAGGAAGAGGUACCAGGUUGUGUGGAUGUGGAGAAAUUGAAAUAUAUACAAAUAUACAUACACCAACUCCUUCUUCUCCAAAGAGACCCCCUCAAAAUGAUGACUUCCAGAGCACAUGAAUGAAAAUGAUUGCAAUGAGUUUAAAAUAGUUAACACUAUUUUGCAAGUCAUUAAAUGCUCUGCAAGUUAUAACCCAGUGGACUCACAAAUUAAACAGGGCUGAUUGAUAAUAAAACAACAAAUUAAGCAACAUAUGGGAGUAUUUGACUGUUGUUCAGAAAUUAACCAACUCUAACAUGUAGGAGUAAUUAAAAUAAUUCC